UACGUAGGGGGCAAGCGUUGUCCGGAUUUAUUGGGCGUAAAGAGCUCGUAGGCGGUUUGUUAAGUCGGCGGUGAAAUCUCGAGGCUCAACUUCGGGAUGCCCUUCGAUACUGCCAUGACUUGAGGCAGGUAGGGGAGUACGGAAUUCCUGGUGUAGCGGUGAAAUGCGCAGAGAUCAGGAGGAACACCGGUGGCGAAGGCGGUACUCUGGGCCUGGACUGACGCUGAGGAGCGAAAGCUAGGGGAGCAAACAGG
This 254-nucleotide ribosomal RNA is filed under the name uncultured bacterium. RNAcentral describes it as "partial 16S ribosomal RNA". It matches the Rfam family "Bacterial small subunit ribosomal RNA", at positions 524 to 776 of the family's 1533-position model. The record is from RNAcentral.